GGCAGGUAGCGUAAUGGUCAGAGCUAUCUAUAUGAAAUAGAAAGACCUGGGUUCGAAUCCCACCUUCUGCUA
This 72-nucleotide transfer RNA is filed under the name Scleropages formosus (Asian bonytongue). Its description in RNAcentral is "tRNA-Ser". Lineage: Eukaryota; Metazoa; Chordata; Actinopteri; Osteoglossiformes; Osteoglossidae. The record is from RNAcentral.